This 299-nucleotide ribosomal RNA is filed under the name uncultured bacterium. Its description in RNAcentral is "partial 16S ribosomal RNA". It matches the Rfam family "Bacterial small subunit ribosomal RNA", at positions 336 to 636 of the family's 1533-position model. The record is from RNAcentral.
UUCCUACGGGGCGCAGCAGUGGGGAAUAUUGCACAAUGGGGGGAACCCUGAUGCAGCGACGCCGCGUGGGUGAAGGAGCACCUCGGUGCGUAAAGCCCUAUCGGCAGGGAAGAAAAGCGAACAGGUUCGCCUGGACGGUACCUGACUAAGAAGCCCCGGCUAACUACGUGCCAGCAGCCGCGGGAAUACGUAGGGGGCAAGCGUUAUCCGGAUUUACUGGGUGUAAAGGGAGCGUAGACGGCAGUGCAAGUCUGGAGUGAAAGGCGGGGGCUCAACCCCCGGACUGCUCUGGAAACUGU